UAACGCGAAGAACCUUACCUGGGCUUGACAUGGCGGUGGUAGGGAACCGAAAGGGGACGACCUUCGGGAGCCGUCACAGGUGCUGCAUGGCUGUCGUCAGCUCGUGUCGUGAGAUGUUCGGUUAAGUCCGGUAACGAGCGCAACCCUCGUCGCCAGUUACACGAUGUCUGGCGAGACUGCCCGUAGAAAGCGGGAGGAAGGUGGGGAUGACGUCAAGUCAGCAUGGCCUUUAUGUCCAGGGCUACACACACGCUACAAUGGCCGGUACAAUGGGGCGCCAACCCGCGAGGGGGAGCCAAUCCGCCAAAGCCGGUCUCAGUUCGGAUUGCAGGCUGCAACCCGCCUGCAUGAAGUCGGAGUGNUAGUAACCGCAGNA
This 376-nucleotide ribosomal RNA is filed under the name uncultured bacterium. RNAcentral describes it as "bacterial SSU rRNA". It matches the Rfam family "Bacterial small subunit ribosomal RNA", at positions 957 to 1349 of the family's 1533-position model. The record is from RNAcentral.